This is a long non-coding RNA of Triticum aestivum (bread wheat), 2360 nucleotides long. RefSeq lists it as uncharacterized. The record is from RefSeq and is a predicted model, not a curated record. The transcript is spliced from 2 exons. NCBI's taxonomy places the organism in Eukaryota, Viridiplantae, Streptophyta, Magnoliopsida, Poales, Poaceae.
AGUAGUUCUCAUUGUUUCGAUGUGGUCAUAGGUAAAUUUGCUAAUGCUAUUUAAGAUUGACGUAUUAUUUUUAGUGAUUUUUUCCUGUGAAUGAUUUAGUUUAUUUAUAUAAUAUGAUUUAGUUUAUUUAUAUAAUAUACAUAUCCAUGAAAACUUUUUUGGUAGGUAUUUGCUUCCAAUGAGUUUACUUUUUUUAGGGUCCUAGUGAAUUUAGUUAAGACACGUACAGUCAACAGUAUGAAAGGUGGCUUAUAUUUUCCUGUUACAUAGUUUGAUCUCGUAGUGUGACAGUGCCCAUACUACUACAUGCACAAAGCGUCAUUUGGUUUAAUGGGUCCCACCAGUCUAUUUCCUCACUUCCCCAAUUCCGUAGUCUUCUCGACUUCUUCCCCAUUCUCCACUUUCGCACAGUGACAUGUUCCUCUGGCCCGAUCCCCUUUCUCAUUUCCUUAUUCGCUCUGCUCACUCCAAAAUUGCUGCUGCUGGAUAGCUCCCAUCAACUUGCUCUCUUGAUUUGCUGCCUUGAGGUCGUUCGUGCUCACCUGUAGCCACGUCCACUGCUGGUGUUUCCAGUGUGGCCAUCGACCGCGGUUGGUAUGGUUCCUCGUAUCCUAGGCUUUUGAAAGGCGGUGGAGGGAUAGUAGGCCCCAAGGAUCAACUGCAGCAAGGAGGAGGCGUGGUGAUUGACCUGCAAGGUGCCGUUGUUGUAGGUGUCCGUGCAGUUGAUUUGGGCGUGGAUAUCGUCUCCCGCAGCUUGCUUGGAUCCAGCUUGAGUGUUAGGAUGUUAGCGACGUUGUCUUCCCCAAGUGCGCAGGCCAGGCACAUCGUCGGUAUUCCCGCUCAAGGUAGCCGGCAACGUCGUCGUCAUCCUCCACGGCGUCAACAAUCUCCGUAGUUCGAAAAUAUGAUACCUGCUGGAGGUGUUGUUGUUUUUGGACGCCGGGCGGAGUUAAUACUGUAGGUUGCGACGUCGCUGGCUAGUGUUGAUCAGACAAUCCUCAAUAUUACAUACAAUGUUCUUGAAGCACAAUAUUGGUAACUGAAGUAAAGGUAAGUGUCUUACCUCUUGCUAACCUGAAAAUUCUUCUCUGGUGACUUUCACAGCACUUGUAAGCCAAGUAUCCAUUUUUGGCAUGGCUUCUUCACCAGGAUAAAAUAUUAGGCAUAACAUCUCACUAUAAAGAACUUCACAACUGCACAAAGAACUAUGCAUUGCUAGGUAGUUGACAUAUAUUUCAAGUUGCCUGAGAGCAAGUACAAUUCUUUAAAGUAGUCCAGCUGACAAAACAAUUAUUAGCUUUGGGAGUUAUCUUGAGCAUCAAACUUCUUGCAUCAAACUAUAUGGACUAUUUGCGAGUCUGACUAACAAAUACAUACAUUAGUCAAAUUAAACUUUUUGGGCAGAAAAGUAUGUGGAGUGAGAUGUCUAUCAGUACUCUAAUCUAGUAGUGAAUCAAUAGUUUUUUGUCCGAUGCAUAUGCAUAUUUUAUUUUAAUGUACCAUUGUGAUAGAAAAGAAACAUGGUGUGCUUCAUUGUCGAUACAUCAUAUUUUGGCAAUGCACAAAUCAACUUAUAUAUGUGCUAUUAAUUAGAGAACAGAGGAGUUCAAAGAAAACAAUGAAAGGGGGUAUAUGCAAAUGAUGGGUGCUAUAUCUUGUAAUGCAUAUGAACUUCUAGGUGUGCUACAGAGUAUUAUUAAUUAAAGAACAGAACAAAUCCUAGAAAAAAGGAGGAGGUUGAUGUGACAGUCACCAGUCACCUGAGAGGGGCUAGCGCAGCGCAAUUCCAAUGAAGAUGGUGGACAUGCUAGGGCACCCCAGUUCCUAUGUACUGAUUCGUCCAGUCCGACACCUGCGUCCAGCAGCCGUCCGUGCUUAUGACGGAAGAGGCCGGUGUUCAGUCCCUGGUGAAGUUCAUGGUGUACCUCUGAGUCCAAGCCGUUGCUAUGUGGAUGGAACUUCAAAAUCCAAGACAUCGUGUACGUCUGCGUCCAAGUUGUCGCUAUGUUGGAUGGAACUUCAAAAUCCAGGACAUCAUGGAGUUGUGGAGAAGAACAACGCUAGGAUUCUCUCGAGGAAGUUUUGGUGCAUGGGUGGAGCAGGAAACCCCGAUGGUAUCUUCACGGAGAUAUUUCUUUCCGGUAAAAUAUCGGUACGGAGGACAACUUCCUUUUUUUGAGUUGGGAUGUAAUUUUAGUUUUUUUCAUACCUUCCUAUGUAAGGACGUGAACGGUCUUUUUUAAAAGAUCUUCCUAUGUACGGGAUCUGAGAGAUCCGAUUCCAAUUAUUAUGGGAUUUUUAAAGAUCUUCCUGUGUAUGGGACGUGAGCGGGCGUGAAUCGCUUUUUAAAGAGCUUCCUA